This 253-nucleotide ribosomal RNA is filed under the name uncultured bacterium. RNAcentral's name for it is "partial 16S ribosomal RNA". It matches the Rfam family "Bacterial small subunit ribosomal RNA", at positions 524 to 776 of the family's 1533-position model. The record is from RNAcentral.
UACGAAGGGAGCUAGCGUUGUUCGGAAUUACUGGGCGUAAAGCGCACGUAGGCGGGCAACUAAGUCAGGGGUGAAAUCCCCGGGCUCAACCUGGGAACUGCAUCCGAAACUGCCUUGCUAGAGUAUGGGAGAGGGAAGUGGAAUUUCCGGUGUAGCAGUGAAAUGCGUAGAUAUCGGAAGGAACACCAGUGGCGAAGGCGACUUCCUGGACCAAUACUGACGCUCAGGUGCGAAAGCGUGGGGAGCAAACAGG